GACCAGACUCCUACGGGAGGCAGCAGUGGGGAAUAUUGCACAAUGGGGGAAACCCUGAUGCAGCGACGCCGCGUGAGUGAAGAAGUAUUUCGGUAUGUAAAGCUCUAUCAGCAGGGAAGAAAAUGACGGUACCUGACUAAGAAGCCCCGGCUAACUACGUGCCAGCAGCCGCGGUAAUACGUAGGGGGCAAGCGUUAUCCGGAUUUACUGGGUGUAAAGGGAGCGUAGACGGCAUGGCAAGUCAGAUGUGAAAGCCCGGGGCUCAACCCCGGGACUGCAUUUGAAACUGUCAGGCUGGAGUGCAGGAGAGGUAAGUGGAAUUCCUAGUGUAGCGGUGAAAUGCGUAGAUAUUAGGAGGAACACCAGUGGCGAAGGCGGCUUACUGGACUGUAACUGACGUUGAGGCUCGAAAGCGUGGGGAGCAAACAGGAUUAGAUACCCCUGUAG
This 447-nucleotide ribosomal RNA is filed under the name uncultured bacterium. RNAcentral's name for it is "bacterial SSU rRNA". It matches the Rfam family "Bacterial small subunit ribosomal RNA", at positions 329 to 793 of the family's 1533-position model. The record is from RNAcentral.